RNAcentral lists this long non-coding RNA (1459 nucleotides) under Triticum aestivum (bread wheat). RNAcentral describes it as "long non-coding RNA (TAES_LNC019699)". Lineage: Eukaryota; Viridiplantae; Streptophyta; Magnoliopsida; Poales; Poaceae. The record is from RNAcentral.
AAAUAAUUAAGCUAGCAUCCAAACCAAACCGAACUACAUGCGCUUUCCACCCAGACCAAUCCAAACCAUAUGCCAUUUAUGGAUUCAACCCAUAGUUUCAAUCCAUGGACAAUGAAUAAGAGUAGCAAACCAGUUUUACUAGGAAAAGGAUAGCUUGCUGACUAGCUAAAUAGCCGUUGGAUGUUACAGUAUGGGGUCUAGAAUUAUUACACAGAAUGGAUGUGACAAUGGAAUUUUACAUAGUUGCUGAAUGUUAACUCAGUUACAGAAUGAAUUUUACAUAGUUGCUGGACUUGAUCUCCCUUUUCUGAAUGGUUUCUUCUACCCUGGCUUUCUUCUUGAUACCUGAGUAUAUUAACAAGUACAUCAGAAUGAUAUUCAAGUUGUCACUGUGAUCAAUUAUGUGCAUAGCAAUCACCGCACUUUAACACGACCAUAUCUCACUAGCAGAACACAUAUUUCUUCAAUUCAAAAAAUCUGCAGGCUUAGAAGAAUAUCACUUCUAUGGUUGCUACGCUCUGUUUUUAUAUUCACAUGGAAUAUCUGACUACACGCCGCAUCCUCUCGGCAACAUGAUGAAGAUUUAGACCGGAACAUUAGAAUUACAAACAUAAUAAAAGGUUCAUAACAAUGUGACCCGUCAAUUAAGAAUAGUAUGUAACAACUUAAACAGUUGUAUGCCCCCAAUAAUAACAGCUGCACAGAAAAUUAAAACAUGUCCGAUAUAAUUUUCCUCUUAAAACAACAAAUGUGUUCUUCACUAAACCUGAAUGCUCCAUGUAAAAAAUUUGACUGAACCUGAACCUAAAAUGUGCAUAGGUACUUCACAGGAGCAUCAUAAUUGGACCUAAAAUGCAAAGAAAAAGAAAUUUCUUUCUUAAUCACUCUGAAAACUAGGCUCAAUUCUUCACUGAACCUGAACGCUCUAUGUCACUGUGUUUCUUUCAGGACAAAGAAUCACUUACCCUCAGCUAGGGACUAUGAUGUAUGCUCUCCCUCUUGUUCCUUUGCUACACCACUCACAUCCUACCGCAGCUCCAUACUUUCAGGACAAGCGGUCACCGGUGGCGGCCUCUUGAUCGGCGGCGUCCCACCCUCAACUGCAGAGACGGGUGGGGUUUAGAGACAGAGAGAGAGGAGAGAGAGGGGGGGGGGGUUGAGAAGGCUGGUGAUGCACUGACCUGCCGAGCUCCAACCAGUGGCAAUGGCAGCGGCGAUCCCUAACCGUAGAGUCAUAGCGGUGACCGGCGGCCAAGCUCCAGCCAGGGAGGGGAAGACGGCGAUCCACUGCACCUGGACGGAUGGGUGUCAGAUGGAUGGGAAGGCCGCGACCAAGCUCCAGUCGGGCGGCGGGCGGCGGCGGAAGAUCCCGGUUUGGCGGCGGUGGCCGGCAGGCGGUGGAGGCGCUCCUCGCUAGGUCAGGCUGCGUGUGUCGAUUUGGUCGUCGAUCCGGUUUCAG